CUCGGCUUUCUCUCCAAAACGAAGAACAAAAACAGCGUAGGAACGAUUGUAAACAAAGUGUGCAGCUAAGAAGGCGGUCGUGGCAUUCGCCAAGCCAAUAAUGGAGAUCUGUGCUCAAUUGAUUGGCUGAAUAAUGGUGAAGUUGGAUAGCUGUGUAUGGAUCGGAUGACGAUGACUGGAUAAUUUGGCCGAAAUCGGCAAAUGGUCAUGUUAACGAGGGGACUGGCAGCACAGCGAAGUAUAUGCCAUCGGCACUAAGUUCGGCAACAGGAAGCACCAUCAGAUAUUUAGCGAUUUAACCCACGACCUCUUGCGCAAGAGAUAGCAACGGUAGCAAUUAUACCACCUGACCCAUCCUCACUUAUCCCGGUAUACCUUGAAUUUGUUGAGCAAAUUGCGUAAUUUGAAUAACUUCCUCAA
Armigeres subalbatus is the source of this 420-nucleotide long non-coding RNA. RefSeq lists it as uncharacterized. Lineage: Eukaryota; Metazoa; Arthropoda; Insecta; Diptera; Culicidae. The transcript has 3 exons. The record is from RefSeq and is a predicted model, not a curated record.